CAGCUUUCCAACCUUGAAAUGCUAGAUGUUGCUGGCAAUUCACUGAAAGGGAUCGUCUCCGAACUUCACUUCUCAAAUCUCACCUCCUUAACUGAAUUGCAUAUGGAAGGGAAUUCCUUAGUUUUUGAUGUUGACCCCACAUGGGCACCUCCAUUCCAACUUGUAUGGAUUGGAUUGUCAUCCUGCAAACUGGGACCCAACUUUCCACAAUGGCUCAAAACGCAGAUGAAUAUUGAGUUCUUAAUGAUGUCAAAUGCAAGCAUCUCAGAUAGGAUCCCUGCUUGGUUUGAAAAUAUUUCUUCAAGUAUCAUCCGUUUGGAUCUAUCUCACAAUCAGAUUACCAAAAAAUUGCCCAAGUUGAGAAAAUUACGUUUCGGUGAUCUUUAUCGUCAUAGGUCCAUAUAUUUGGAUUCCAACAAAUUUGAUGGUCCUUUAACACCUUUUCCUUCUGAUACAGUUGAUUUAGAUAUCUCCGACAACUUGCUUUGUGGCCAAGUCCCCAAAAAAAUUGGAACAAUGAUGCCACAUUUGGAAUCUUUUGUUAUCUCCACCAACCAUUUGAGAGGGACCAUUCCGGUUUCUGUUUGUGAGUUAAAGAAUUUAGCUAUUCUGGAUCUCUCAGCAAAUCAUCUAUCAGGAAGACUUCCUAGAUGUUGGAAAAAGUUGCAGGAUUUGAAAGUGGUAGAUUUGGCAAAUAACAAUCUCAGUGGCCAUAUUCCAUUUUCUUUCGGCUUUAUGCAGCAGCUCUUGUCCUUGCAUCUUCAAAACAAUAGUUUCCAAGGAAAAUUUCCUAGGUCAUUAAGUAAGCUCAAAUGUUUGAGGACUGUUGAUCUCAGUUUGAACGCUUUUGCUGGUUUUAUUCCUCAAUGGCUUGGUGAAAACCUAUCUUCGUUGAGAGUAUUCGAUGUUCAUUCCAAUAAGUUUGAUGGUGAGAUUCCUCCACAACUCUGCAGCCUUGCUUCUCUUCGCAUUCUAAACCUGGCAAACAACAACAUGAUUGGAAAUAUUCCUAAUUGUUUUGACAAUUUUACUGGGAUGAUUGUGGAUGAGAUAGGAGAUUAUCGGAACUAUCAUUUCCUUGCAUAUAGUUCCUACAUUCCUGGAUCUCAAUCUGUAGCUUACGAUGAGAAUCUUUUGGCUUAUAUAAAAGGAAUGGAACUUGAAUAUACCAGUUCGCUUCAGUAUCUCUUUUCCAUUGAUCUUUCAGGAAAUAAUCUUGUGGGAGAGAUUCCAAAGGGGAUAAUGAGUCUUUUAAAGUUACAAAACUUGAAUUUGUCUGGAAAUAAUUUGACAGGGCAUAUACCAUUGAACAUUGGUAACUUGAAAUUGCUAGAAUCUCUUGAUUUGUCCAGAAAUGAACUUUGUGGCUCUAUUCCAACCAGCAUUUCUGAUUUAAACUUCUUAAGUCACUUGAACUUGUCAUUCAAUAAUUUAUCUGGCCGCAUUCCUUUGGGGAAUCAACUCCAAACUUUGGAUGAUAAAUCCAUCUACAUUGGCAACAAUGGACUCUGCGGACAUCCACUGAAAAGUUGCCCAAAAAAUCAACUGCUUCAAGGACAUGACCAUGCUGAGAGAAUAGAAUCUGAGAUUGACAUGCUUUGGUUUUACCAAGGCUUAGGAAUGGGUUCCGCAGUUGGAUUUUGGGGAGUUUGUAGCAUUUUGUAUUUCAAAGUUUCUUGGAGAAAUGCCUACUUCCAAUCAAUCGACAGAAUCUACAAAAAGCUUGAGGGAAUAGUUACAGAGAAAGUUCCAUAGAGACAAAUUUGGAGUGCAAGCAUGAGAAGGACGUUGUAAACAAGAUGGCAAAAAUUGAACAAAAGCCCAAAUGAAGCUCAACUCAAAUUCAUAGGAAGGAAGGUUGUGCUAUGAUUUCAGAUGAAAAUUUCUGAAUUUAGAUGAAUAUUCUCUUUAUCUAUCUCUGCAAUAUGUGGCUAAAUGUAUAUAUUAAUUUGCUAGCUUGUACCUAUUCUGUUAAUGUAAGUUAUGCUUGAGACACUAAAUACAUUAUCAAAAGUUUACAGCAGAUUUCUGAUCUA
This 2036-nucleotide unclassified non-coding RNA is filed under the name Hevea brasiliensis (rubber tree). The record is from RNAcentral. Lineage: Eukaryota; Viridiplantae; Streptophyta; Magnoliopsida; Malpighiales; Euphorbiaceae.